GGCUGAAUAGCUCAGUGGUAAGAGCAGUCACUCGGCAAGUGAAAGACUCGGGUUCGAUUCCCGAUUCAGCGA
RNAcentral lists this transfer RNA (72 nucleotides) under Camponotus floridanus (Florida carpenter ant). It matches the Rfam family "tRNA". From Rfam's summary of the family: Transfer RNA (tRNA) molecules are approximately 80 nucleotides in length. Their secondary structure includes four short double-helical elements and three loops (D, anti-codon, and T loops). Further hydrogen bonds mediate the characteristic L-shaped molecular structure. tRNAs have two regions of fundamental functional importance: the anti-codon, which is responsible for specific mRNA codon recognition, and the 3' end, to which the tRNAs corresponding amino acid is attached (by aminoacyl-tRNA synthetases). tRNAs cope with the degeneracy of the genetic code in two manners: having more than one tRNA (with a specific anti-codon) for a particular amino acid; and 'wobble' base-pairing, i.e. permitting non-standard base-pairing at the 3rd anti-codon position. The record is from Rfam by way of RNAcentral. Lineage: Eukaryota; Metazoa; Arthropoda; Insecta; Hymenoptera; Formicidae.